Molecule: ribosomal RNA, 275 nt
Filed under: uncultured prokaryote
Description: partial 16S ribosomal RNA
Rfam family: Bacterial small subunit ribosomal RNA
Source: RNAcentral
CACGGGGGUUGCGAGCGUUGUCCGGAAUUACUAGGCGUAAAGGGCAGGCAGGCGGAUCCAUAAGUUUAUCGUUUAAGGCGUCGGCUUAACCGGCGUAGGGCGGUAGAUACUGUGGAUCUGGAAUGCGGUUGGGGAAGACAGAAUUCCUGGUGUAGCGGUGGAAUGCGCAGAGAUCAGGAGGAAUACCGAAGGCGAAGGCAGUCUUCCAAGCCGUUAUUGACGCUCAACUGCGAAGGUGUGGGUAUCAAACAGGAUUAGAUACCCGAGUCCCUGAG